GAUGAACGCUGGCGGCGUGCCUAAUACAUGCAAGUCGAGCGAACGGACGAGAGGCUUGCUUCUCUGAUGUUAGCGGCGGACGGGUGAGUAACACGUGGAUAACCUACCUAUAAGACUGGGAUAACUUCGGGAAACCGGAGCUAAUACCGGAUAAUAUUUUGAACCGCAUGGUUCAAAAGUGAAAGACGGUCUUGCUGUCACUUAUAGAUGGAUCCGCGCUGCAUUAGCUAGUUGGUAAGGUAACGGCUUACCAAGGCAACGAUGCAUAGCCGACCUGAGAGGGUGAUCGGCCACACUGGAACUAAGACACGGUCCAGACUCCUACGGGAGGCAGCAGUAGGGAAUCUUCCGCAAUGGGCGAAAGCCUGACGGAGCAACGCCGCGUGAGUGAUGAAGGUCUUCGGAUCGUAAAACUCUGUUAUUAGGGAAGAACAUAUGUGUAAGUAACUGUGCACAUCUUGACGGUACCUAAUCAGAAAGCCACGGCUAACUACGUG
RNAcentral lists this ribosomal RNA (497 nucleotides) under uncultured bacterium. RNAcentral describes it as "partial 16S ribosomal RNA". It matches the Rfam family "Bacterial small subunit ribosomal RNA", at positions 28 to 507 of the family's 1533-position model. The record is from RNAcentral.